UCUGGAGUGACCCAUAAUCUGAUGGAAUCGAGCGGCAAUCCUCCGGUCCGAGGAGCAGGAACUUGAUACAAGGCUAGUUAACAUGGAUGAGUCUGCUUGACAAGAUAAAGUCUGUAAGGCCUAAAGUGUUGCAGAGUAAAUUAAGCGGAUAGAAGGAGAGGAAGAUUGCCGC
RNAcentral lists this non-coding RNA (172 nucleotides) under Peribacillus simplex. Lineage: Bacteria; Bacillati; Bacillota; Bacilli; Caryophanales; Bacillaceae. The record is from RNAcentral.